This 200-nucleotide ribosomal RNA is filed under the name uncultured bacterium. Its description in RNAcentral is "partial 16S ribosomal RNA". It matches the Rfam family "Bacterial small subunit ribosomal RNA", at positions 1303 to 1500 of the family's 1533-position model. The record is from RNAcentral.
GUCUGCAACUCGACUACAUGAAGCUGGAAUCGCUAGUAAUCGCGAAUCAGAAUGUCGCGGGUGAAUACGUUCCCGGGUCUUGUACACACCGCCCGUCACACCAUGGGAGUCAGUAACGCCCGAAGCCGGUGACCCAACCGAUAAGGAGGGAGCCGUCGAAGGUGGGACCGAUAACUGGGGUGAAGUCGUAACAAGGUAAC